GCGAGGAUGGCGAAAUUGGUAGACGCACCAGCCUUAGGAGCUGGCGGUUAACACCGUGGGGGUUCGAGUCCCCCUCCUCGCA
This 82-nucleotide transfer RNA is filed under the name Gemmatimonadaceae bacterium. RNAcentral describes it as "tRNA-Leu". It matches the Rfam family "tRNA". From Rfam's summary of the family: Transfer RNA (tRNA) molecules are approximately 80 nucleotides in length. Their secondary structure includes four short double-helical elements and three loops (D, anti-codon, and T loops). RNAcentral also lists the same sequence under 1 other name. Lineage: Bacteria; Pseudomonadati; Gemmatimonadota; Gemmatimonadia; Gemmatimonadales; Gemmatimonadaceae. The record is from RNAcentral.